GUACACUCCUGCGGGAGGCAGCAGUGGGGAAUUUUGGACAAUGGGGGCAACCCUGAUCCAGCAAUGCCGCGUGAGUGAAGAAGGCCUUCGGGUUGUAAAGCUCUUUUGUCAGGGAAGAAACGGUAGUAGCGAAUAACUAUUACUAAUGACGGUACCUGAAGAAUAAGCACCGGCUAACUACGUGCCAGCAGCCGCGGUAAUACGUAGGGUGCAAGCGUUAAUCGGAAUUACUGGGCGUAAAGCGUGCGCAGGCGGUUGUGUAAGUCAGAUGUGAAAUCCCCGGGCUCAACCUGGGAAUUGCAUUUGAGACUGCACGGCUAGAGUGUGUCAGAGGGGGGUAGAAUUCCACGUGUAGCAGUGAAAUGCGUAGAUAUGUGGAGGAAUACCGAUGGCGAAGGCAGCCCCCUGGGAUAACACUGACGCUCAUGCACGAAAGCGUGGGGAGCAAACAGGAUUAGAAACCCCUGUAGUCCCAUG
RNAcentral lists this ribosomal RNA (477 nucleotides) under uncultured organism. RNAcentral describes it as "partial 16S ribosomal RNA". It matches the Rfam family "Bacterial small subunit ribosomal RNA", at positions 331 to 799 of the family's 1533-position model. The record is from RNAcentral.